AAUCGUUCAAUAGCGAUACUGUGUUGGUCCUAGGCUAAACCAUGCUAGAUACAUGAGCCUAGGUACAAAUGUAGUCACUAAAAAGGAGCAACAAGCACAGCACGAAGGAAACAACAGAUUCAGCCCCUUCUUUCUUCUCCUUCUCUUAUCUUUUUUUUCUUUUUUUCCCUUCUUUUUCUUUCUUUUGUUUUUUUUAAGAGGCCUAAAUCUUUUAUUUGAUCGUAUGACAACCCAAACAAUAAGGCUA
This 247-nucleotide long non-coding RNA is filed under the name Setaria italica (foxtail millet). Its description in RNAcentral is "long non-coding RNA (SITA_LNC005001)". The record is from RNAcentral. Lineage: Eukaryota; Viridiplantae; Streptophyta; Magnoliopsida; Poales; Poaceae.